CAAGUCGAGCGGAAAGGCCCUUCGGGGUACUCGAGCGGCGAACGGGUGAGUAACACGUGAGGAACCUGCCCCAGCUCUGGGAUAGCUCCGGGAAACCGGAAUUAAUACCGGAUACGACCCUGACUGACAUCAGUCAGGGUGGAAAGGAUUUCCGGCUGAGGAUGGACUCGCGGCCUAUCAGCUAGUUGGUGGAGUAACGGCCCACCAAGGCGACGACGGGUAGCCGGCCUGAGAGGGCGACCGGCCACACUGGGACUGAGACACGGCCCAGACUCCUGCGGGAGGCAGCAGUGGGGAAUAUUGCGCAAUGGGCGAAAGCCUGACGCAGCGACGCCGCGUGGGGGAUGAAGGCCUUCGGGUUGUAAACCCCUUUCAGCAGGGACGAAGCGAGAGUGACGGUACCUGCAGAAGAAGCGCCGGCUAACUACGUGCCAGCAGCCGCGGUAACACGUAGGGCGCAAGCGUUGUCCGGAAUUAUUGGGCGUAAAGAGCUCGUAGGCGGUCUGUUACGUCUGCUGUGAAAACCCAGGGCUUAACCCUGGGCUUGCAGUGGAUACGGGCAGACUAGAGGCAGGUAGGGGAGAAUGGAAUUCCCGGUGUAGCGGUGAAAUGCGCAGAUAUCGGGAGGAACACCGGUGGCGAAGGCGGUUCUCUGGGCCUGACCUGACGCUGAGGAGCGAAAGCGUGGGGAGCGAACAGGAUUAGAUACCCUGGUAGUCCACGCUGUAAACGUUGGGCGCUAGGUGUGGGGUCCUUCCACGGAUUCCGUGCCGCAGCUAACGCACUAAGC
This 790-nucleotide ribosomal RNA is filed under the name uncultured Thermomonosporaceae bacterium. Its description in RNAcentral is "bacterial SSU rRNA". It matches the Rfam family "Bacterial small subunit ribosomal RNA", at positions 58 to 865 of the family's 1533-position model. Lineage: Bacteria; Bacillati; Actinomycetota; Actinomycetes; Streptosporangiales; Thermomonosporaceae. The record is from RNAcentral.